Molecule: ribosomal RNA, 505 nt
Filed under: uncultured bacterium
Lineage: Bacteria
Description: partial 16S ribosomal RNA
Rfam family: Bacterial small subunit ribosomal RNA
Source: RNAcentral
GACGAACGCUGGCGGCGUGCCUAAUACAUGCAAGUAGAACGCACAGUUUAUACCGUAGCUUGCUACACCAUAAACUGUGAGUUGCGAACGGGUGAGUAACGCGUAGGUAACCUGCCUGGUAGCGGGGGAUAACUAUUGGAAACGAUAGCUAAUACCGCAUAAUAUUAAUUAUUGCAUGAUAAUUGAUUGAAAGAUGCAAUUGCAUCACUACCAGAUGGACCUGCGUUGUAUUAGCUAGUAGGUGAGGUAACGGCUCACCUAGGCGACGAUACAUAGCCGACCUGAGAGGGUGAUCGGCCACACUGGGACUGAGACACGGCCCAGACUCCUACGGGAGGCAGCAGUAGGGAAUCUUCGGCAAUGGACGAAAGUCUGACCGAGCAACGCCGCGUGAGCGAAGAAGGUUUUCGGAUCGUAAAGCUCUGUUGUAAGAGAAGAACGGGUGUGAGAGUGGAAAGUUCACACUGUGACGGUAUCUUACCAGAAAGGGACGGCUAACUACGUG